This 491-nucleotide long non-coding RNA is filed under the name Junco hyemalis (dark-eyed junco). Its description in RNAcentral is "lncRNA (ENSJHYG00000010326.1)". Lineage: Eukaryota; Metazoa; Chordata; Aves; Passeriformes; Passerellidae. The record is from RNAcentral.
GAGAGGCAAAACCCAAGUGCAGUGACUGACCUCCUCUGCAGUAAGAAAGGGCUUUAAGAAUAUCCAGAAGAAGGGGAAAGUUUGUGAAGGAAAAAAAAGAAUAUUGCAACUCACUGCUAGAGGCGUUAAUACGACGCUAACGAACCGUAGCCUUUCCAGAGCAUAGCUGGCAACAUUAGCACCCAUCUGUGCUGAGUGGGAUGUGCAAGCAGAAGCCAGGGCCGAGCAGCCUCCACCUGUUUGCAGAAAACCUUGCAUUUCCUGUGAAGGAGGAAGUCUGUGCUGUCCCCAUGGAAUGGGAAGGACUUGGAUGCUUCACUAAGACUUCUCCCUUCCCCCUUGAUGAGCAGUGCUCCUUUCAAGUGAAUGGAAGGUCUGGGAGUAAUGCAUACAAACACAGAGGCCGGGUCCUGUGUUGUGUGGAGGCGUGCAGCAAUCUGGUCUGGAUGGAGAAAAUACCUCAGAAAACCCAAGAGGAAUGUUUACUUUGA